CGCCGCCUGGAGCGCAGACUGGAGCAGGAGAUGGGGCGGGCUGGAGACCCUGGGGCCGCCCCACCACCACCUUGGUCCUGCUCUGGAUUCCAGAUCCCCUGAUCUCUGUUCUGUGCUCGCAGAGGUACACCUUGGCAUGGGAUGUGAGCACAAGGGCACGGGGCAUGCAUGCCUCAGCUGCACCUUCCUCAUUGUCUGGAAGGCCAGGCAUGAGGGGAGAAGCCCAGACAUCCUUCAAUCACACUCAUUCCUUUUACCUGUUCUUCCUUUGCUUGAGGGCCUAAGGCCAGAAGAUGGGUCCUUAGCUGGCCAUUGCUGGACAUCACUCAGGGCUCCAAUACAAUUUGUGCCCUGCCCAAAGGACCUUGCAAGGGGCUGGAAUUCAUUGUCCAUCAAGCCAGUCAUGUCCUGAGUCCAUCCUAAAGAAUCAGCCUGCACAAAGGUGUGGAAAGACACAUCAGUACUGGAACCCAGGAAGGUUUCCAGCUCCUGCUUGAUGAAUGGGGUGCCUGAGCCCCAAGGGCAACAGAUCUAGUGAAAGAACUCACAGGUGGCUUUCUUACCAAGUUGGGCUCUGUACCCCGCAUCCUGGUUCCCAGGAGCCUUGGAAAUCCCUGAUGCUACCUCUGAAGAUGCCUGGAAUAGAAGAGGGGAGAGAGCCAUCUUUGCAGACAUUGGCAGCUCCUCAAACCUUGGCCUGCACCUUCUCUGUCCCCUACUUGGCAAUGGUGCCUAUCUCCACUGGAUGCUGCCUGAGAACAGGGUCUUUGAUCAUUGCUCCAACUCCAGCACUGAGGGUGUCCACAGAGCGUUUGUUGGGCCAAUGAAUGAAUUCCACCACCUCCAUCACACUCUUCAGAAACUGCAAAGUAAAGAAUAAAAAUGUAGCAUCUUCCUCCCUAUCGUCUCUCUUGUCACCCUGUUCCAUAGCCACAAACUCCAUUUCUGACACCAAAGCUCUUCUGUAAUCCAACAACCAA
This is a long non-coding RNA of Fukomys damarensis (Damara mole-rat), 980 nucleotides long. RefSeq lists it as uncharacterized. The record is from RefSeq and is a predicted model, not a curated record. The transcript has 5 exons. Lineage: Eukaryota; Metazoa; Chordata; Mammalia; Rodentia; Bathyergidae.